This 498-nucleotide ribosomal RNA is filed under the name uncultured bacterium. RNAcentral describes it as "partial 16S ribosomal RNA". It matches the Rfam family "Bacterial small subunit ribosomal RNA", at positions 28 to 523 of the family's 1533-position model. The record is from RNAcentral.
GACGAACGCUGGCGGCGUGCCUAACACAUGCAAGUCGAGCGGAGAUGAUGUGAGGAAGUUUUCGGAUGGAAUCACAUUAUUUUAGCGGCGGACGGGUGAGUAACGCGUGAGCGACCAACCUUGCACAGGGGGAUAACGGACCGAAAGGUUCACUAAUACCGCAUGAGACCACGGUGUUGCAUGACACAGAGGUCAAAGGAGAGAUCCGGUGCAAGACGGGCUCGCGUCCGAUUAGGUAGUUGGAGGGGUAACGGCCCACCAAGCCUAUGAUCGGUAGCCGACCUGAGAGGGUGAUCGGCCACAUUGGAACUGAGAUACGGUCCAAACUCCUACGGGAGGCAGCAGUGGGGAAUAUUGGGCAAUGGGGGAAACCCUGACCCAGCAACGCCGCGUGAAGGAAGAAGGUUUUCGGAUUGUAAACUUCUGUCCUUGGUGAAGAGAAGAAGACGGUAGCCAAGGAGGAAGCCCCGGCUAACUACGUGCCAGUCGCCGCAGUAA